This is an RNA transcript of Melopsittacus undulatus (budgerigar), 1932 nucleotides long. It is a transcript of the gene named tRNA wybutosine-synthesizing protein 4-like, with no coding region annotated. Lineage: Eukaryota; Metazoa; Chordata; Aves; Psittaciformes; Psittaculidae. The record is from RefSeq and is a predicted model, not a curated record. The transcript is spliced from 6 exons.
CGGCUGUUCCAUACUGUGUCAUGUGUCUCCAACAGUCUGGCCCUGGUGGUAGGAGGACGAACAUCCCCAUCAAGUGCAGGCUUGGGAAUGCUGUGGCUGAAGUUCCAUGAAACCUGUAAUGCCUUGGACCCAGGUGACAUUACAGUGAAACUUGUAAGUCUGCAGCCUGCUGCUGAGUCAGCUGCUUUGCGUUGGAGGCACAGCACAACUGAAGUGAUGUUUAAAGGCAAGAAGUACCUGUUUGUGUAUGGUGGCCGCUCUGCUCUGGAGCCUGUACUGGGGGACUGGUAUUUCUUGCACACUCAGGAGCUUUCCUGCACUGGGAUUCCUGUGGAGGGUCCAAUACCAGAAAGCCGUCACUCUCACUCUGCCUGUAGCUGGAAAGGAGGAGUGGUAAUUGCAGGAGGUCUGGGAGCAGCUGAGCAGCCAUUAGGUUCAGUUUUCCUUCUGAGGGAGCUUGAACAUGGCUUUCAAUGGCAGACAGUUGAGACAUACCCCCCUCUCAUACCAAGGUAUUCACAUACUGCACAUGUGCAUGACGGAAAACUGCUGCUUGUUGGUGGAGUGUGGUUUCACUCAUCCUCUGUGCCAGGCAUCACUGUCAUUGACUUAAUGAGUGGUCUCUGCUUGGACUAUAUGAUUAAUGUGGAGCAUCUGGAGUGGCCAUUAAUGCUACAUAAUCAUAGUAGUGUCUUUCUGCCAGAUGAGAAGGAGCUGUUGAUUAUUGGUGGUGGGGGGAACUGCUUCUCCUUUGGGACACACCUGAACCCAGAGCCUGUCUCAUUGAGCCUCAGCAACAUCCUGACAACCACUGAUGGGGACCAGAUAGGACUGAACCAUGCUGGUGCACUGUGGUGAGACAUCUGUUCACUUGUAUGUCCAAGAGCAGCAAAAUGUUUCCACAAGGGUUUUGUAUCCCGACUGCAUUUGUAAAAGUGUGGGCUUAGGAAGGGCAGGUAUGACAAGGAGUUUCAUACCUGGUCUGUCUUGGUUUUGUACUGCUCUUUAUGUUGCUGUAAAUAAAGUAUCUCAAAGGUAGCUCUGUAGUGAUAGCAGUAAAGGUGAAGUGAGGAGCAGUGCUGUGUUCAAAAGGGACGUGACUGCACAGUGCUGAUUUGGAGGUACAGUGAAGUCACUGAGUCACAAAGCCCUUAGAAAUGUUCAGUCAAUCAUAACCAAAUAAGUGAAAGGAAGUGUAGCACGUGUCAUACCUGAAAGUUUCAAAAGUUCAUGUCCCAUCUAGAUAUGACAAACUCCUGCUCCUCUGAUUCUUGUUGCCAGGACUCUGCUAGCUGCAGCCUUGCUUGUUUCCUGGGAAGGUCAACAGCAUCAGUGAAAGAGGGGCAGGGAGAUGCUGCAUAAAAUCAUUACUUGGUCUCAUUGCUAACAUUUGAACUUUCCUACGUCUGGAAAGCUGCCAUGGUGAGGACACUGUGCAUGGAACACCAUUUGAGCACAGUGUUAAAACUAGGAUGAUCUUGAGAAGGCACAUACACUUUUGGCUGUGUUUUAUGCAGGAUCACCAGAUAACCUCAAGGAGGUUAAACCAGAAAGCUGCAGGCAAAUGGUGUUCGACUUCCCGUUGCUGAUAGGGUGCAGGAGGCCUGGGCAGUUGGCAGUGUAACUCUUUGACACAGAGGUCUCUAAGGAGAGCCUGGGAACAAGAAGCUGUUGGACAUCUUGCUGAGAUAAAACAUUAGUGGUAAAGAUGAUGGACCCCUGCACAUGGAGAUGAAACAGUCUGGUUGGCAAGAGCCACGGUGGCUUCUGGGAAAAGAAGAAAUCAUCUUGCUUGGCUGCAGCUCUACCAUGUCUCUGCAGGCAGGUGGAUAAAGGGGAUGUAGUGAACAUAAUAGAUGUUGUGGUGCCCCACACCAAACAGUGAGGAAAUAGUAUUACUGCAGGAAGAGGAAAGCUGCUUUAAGGCUUGGA